Molecule: ribosomal RNA, 550 nt
Filed under: uncultured bacterium
Lineage: Bacteria
Description: bacterial SSU rRNA
Rfam family: Bacterial small subunit ribosomal RNA
Source: RNAcentral
UAGGGAAUCUUCCACAAUGGACGCAAGUCUGAUGGAGCAACGCCGCGUGAGUGAAGAAGGUCUUCGGAUCGUAAAACUCUGUUAUUAGAGAAGAACACGAGUGAGAGUAACUGUUCAUUCGAUGACGGUAUCUAACCAGCAAGUCACGGCUAACUACGUGCCAGCAGCCGCGGUAAUACGUAGGUGGCAAGCGUUGUCCGGAUUUAUUGGGCGUAAAGGGAACGCAGGCGGUCUUUUAAGUCUGAUGUGAAAGCCUUCGGCUUAACCGGAGAAGUGCAUCGGAAACUGGAUAACUUGAGUGCAGAAGAGGGUAGUGGAACUCCAUGUGUAGCGGUGGAAUGCGUAGAUAUAUGGAAGAACACCAGUGGCGAAGGCGGCUACCUGGUCUGCAACUGACGCUGAGACUCGAAAGCAUGGGUAGCGAACAGGAUUAGAUACCCUGGUAGUCCAUGCCGUAAACGAUGAGUGCUAGGUGUUGGAGGGUUUCCGCCCUUCAGUGCCGGAGCUAACGCAUUAAGCACUCCGCCUGGGGAGUACGACCGCAAGGUUG